CAGGCUCGGCAGUGCGAGCUGAGACACCAAAGGACGAGGAAGGACUCUCACGUUGUUUGAAGGCACCUGCUCUUUUUUUUUUAUUGUAAAUGGCAAGGAGUUAUAAGGUUAUUAUUGUAAUUUAUUUGAGUCAGGUCCCGAUUUUUGUCUUCUUGCGAUUGAUUUGUUUGCGUUUGUGGCAGCUUUUUGCCAUUUUCAGUGUUGCGCCUGUCUGUGUGUGGCGAAUGACCAAAAUUUAGUAUAGCAGAACAGUAGUACUUUAGAGUAUAGGAUGAUUGCUGAAAUUUCACACCGAAGAUGUAGAGAAGCAUUUGACAGACCAAAAUGAUCAAACUACAGGCUCGGCCACAGAUGCCCCAAAUUAAUUUCAAUCCUUGCUGUUGGCGCUUGGAGUGCAUGGAACGGGUGAUAGAUAUACUGGGUGUCCCAGUUCCUUCUGACGAAACUCUGCG
Molecule: long non-coding RNA, 452 nt
Organism: Cimex lectularius (bed bug)
Lineage: Eukaryota; Metazoa; Arthropoda; Insecta; Hemiptera; Cimicidae
Exons: 4
Source: RefSeq, a predicted model, not a curated record